CUCUACCACAUAGUCAGAUGCUGAUAGCCUAAGUGGCUAUCUCCCAGUACAAGGUAGGUAAAGGACUACGUUUCCGCGCCAUAGGCGAAAAACUAAAACAGCGCACACACCGAUAGUAGGAAUAUCCGAAUUCCGUGUGUGC
Molecule: non-coding RNA, 142 nt
Submitted as: unclassified sequences
Source: Rfam